Molecule: long non-coding RNA, 1339 nt
Filed under: Dicentrarchus labrax (European seabass)
Lineage: Eukaryota; Metazoa; Chordata; Actinopteri; Moronidae
Description: lncRNA (ENSDLAG00005028752.1)
Source: RNAcentral
AACUCUCAAAAACCAGCGUUCAUCAGACUCCCACUGCCAUGAUUAAAGAUGCUGGAGAAGACAUCCUGAUGAACUGCAACCAUUCAAACACUGAUUUUACAAUGAUCCAGUGGUACAAACAUUCUGCUGGGGAAAAUGAUAUGGCUUUAAUUGGUUAUGUACGACUCAGUUCUAGCGUUGUUGAAGAUAAAUUCAAAGACUCUUAUAAUGUGAGCGGUCAUGGAUCAAGUCUGGCACAUCUUCAUAUUCCAAAGAGUCGAUCCGAGAACAGCGCAGUGUAUUUCUGUGCAGCCAGUAGAGCACAGUGCUACACAAACCCUCCGUCUUUAACAAAAACCUUCUCUGACGCAGCCAGUUACAGAAAUUACCACUUGAACCACAUUGUGAAUGACUGAUAGACAGCUGGUGCACCAUGAGACAGGUAGAUUCUUAGUUUAUCCAUUAGGGUGCAGUGUUUUUCCAGAUCUGUUGAUUCUGAAUUUGAUGUUGUUGAAUUUAAUCAAUUCUAUAUACGUGUAGUUUAUAUGGUGAAUAUUACUAAUUCAACAUUUUAACAUUUUUAACAGCAACAACAACAAUUCAUGGACUGAAGAGACUGUGUUUUGUUUGGUCUUUAAACAGCAGUAACAUCACAUAAAAUGUAUUUGUUAUUAUUAACACUGCUAUUUAUUACUUCCUUGAGGUGGCAGUGUGUAUUUUACCCCCAGCGGUGCAUAAUGGUAACUGGCAUGAUGGUUUUAAUAUUUAGAACAGGAGGAUAUGACGUUGUUUUUCUGAUAGGAGGACUUAAUCAGAAAGGGAGGAGGGAAUCCUCUGUAUACCAGCAUAGUGAAGAAAACAGCACCAGAAACAAGACUGACUUUAAAAACACAACAUGAUGAUCAUUGUCUGCUGCAUAACCUUGAAUGUUAUACUGGUUUCAGGUUCCUCUCUAAAUGAACUAGUCUACCAGAAUCCAGCCCACACUUUCAACAAACCUGAAGGAGCAGCUAAAAUUGAGUGUUCACACAGUAUUCAAAACUAUGAUACAAUCCUCUGGUACAAGAAAUCAAAGAACAGACAGCUGCAGUUGCUUGGAUACAUGGUGGGAGGCAGUGGAUCUCCAGAGAAGGGAGUGAAUGUGAAGAUAGCAGGGAGUGCAAAUAAAGACCAAAACUGCACAUUAACAAUUGAAGAACUCCAGCUGAACAGCAGUGCAGUGUACUUCUGUGCUGCUAGUUUACACAGUGCUACAUAUCACUGCUCCUCAGUACAAAAACCUCCACAACACAUUUUGUCAUCUCGCUACUACAGCUCACAGCCUCUUGCACCUGUAUGCUUUCCUUUUAUGAGGUGGUGA